UUUUAUGGAGAGUUUGAUCCUGGCUCAGGAUGAACGCUGGCGGCGUGCCUAAUACAUGCAAGUCGAGCGAACAGAUAAGGAGCUUGCUCCUUUGACGUUAGCGGCGGACGGGUGAGUAACACGUGGAUAACCUACUUAUAAGACUGGGAUAACUUCGGGAAACCGGAGCUAAUACCGGAUAAGAUUUUGAACCGCAUGGUUCAAUAGUGAAAGACGGCCUUGCUGUCACUUAUAGAUGGAUCCGCGCCGUAUUAGCUAGUUGGUAAGGUAACGGCUUACCAAGGC
RNAcentral lists this ribosomal RNA (285 nucleotides) under Staphylococcus sp. AOAB. Its description in RNAcentral is "partial 16S ribosomal RNA". It matches the Rfam family "Bacterial small subunit ribosomal RNA", at positions 1 to 274 of the family's 1533-position model. Lineage: Bacteria; Bacillati; Bacillota; Bacilli; Caryophanales; Staphylococcaceae. The record is from RNAcentral.